GGUAGUGGUGGUUGUGGUGGUA
This 22-nucleotide non-coding RNA is filed under the name Arabidopsis thaliana (thale cress). The record is from RNAcentral. Lineage: Eukaryota; Viridiplantae; Streptophyta; Magnoliopsida; Brassicales; Brassicaceae.